RNAcentral lists this long non-coding RNA (1279 nucleotides) under Phasianus colchicus (ring-necked pheasant). Its description in RNAcentral is "lncRNA (ENSPCLG00000008846.1)". The record is from RNAcentral. Lineage: Eukaryota; Metazoa; Chordata; Aves; Galliformes; Phasianidae.
UUAGCCUUCAGCUGAGGAGCAGCUCCUUGAAGCAGCACCAGGACACCAGCGUCACACUGUCACACUGCUGAGAAGAACCCAUGGGAGAAGGAGCCCCGAUGCAAGCCUUGAUGACUUGGUAAGCAACGUACAGAAGGCUGCCAAUGGGAACAAAUGUAUUUUGGUGAUAUAGGUGAACUGUAUUUUAGCCGUACAUCGGCAAGAGAGUGCCUAAAAUGCUGCUGAGGGGACAGAAGUGCUGACCACACCUCGUGCCUUAUUACGGACUAUCAUUAUUAAGCUGCUAUAGACAGUCACUUCUAGCACUUUAUUCGUGAGUGCUGCUCACUGUGGAGCUGUUUGUCUCCUUUGAACACCUCAGAGCACAUGCCAUGAUUUCAUGAUCCCCUAUUGCUGCAGUGUCCCAGCUCAGCAGUGCCUGCGGUGCUGCCCCGGUGUGCGCAGUGGAGCUCUGCGUGUGCUGGUAAAUGAGCAGUGAGAAUGCAGCGAAAGCACCACUGCACAUCACUGUUUGAGAACUGUAAGAUCUAGAAAAGAAAGACAAGUUCAGACAGAAAAAUACAUCAGAAACAUCAUUAAACAUUAAUACUUGCAAAGCACUAAGAAGUUUUGAUACACUGGAAUUAAGGCAUCUCGUACAGCCUGCACCUGUUGUGGCAGUGCUUUCAGCUUUUCAUCAGCUAUUUGCUCACAUGCAGCUCUGCCAUUGUUUUUGUUGUUUUCCCCAAAUUCAUGUGCCCAGGAUGGUGACUGACUGGUGCAGAUGAGGCCUAUGAAAGGGUUUGCCUGGGAGCUGUGAAUUGCCCUCUGGCCAAGGAGUUGGUCCCUUCCUCCUCCAGGUCUUUGGUUACAAUGCUCCGAUUGCAAACACAGGUGUUUUUUUUUUUUUCAGUAGAUGAGUUCUUUGAUGGCAUGCAAACAGAAGACUGAGCAUGCAAAGAUGAAUGCUUCAUGCCAUCUCCUAUGGACAUAUCUCUGGUCGUGGGCUCUGGCAGGGCUGAGCAAUGCCCCAGGACUCAAUGAGGCUGAAGGCUGCAGAGAGCUCAACUGCGGUUUGCGACGUCAUGGGAUAGACCUACUUAUGCCAUCCUGCCCUUCAUGGUGUGCGCAGGGAGGGAGCCUGAGAGAGAGGAAAAACCCACACACAUGCACAGACCUUCCAUCUGUCUCUCUGAUUUACAUGCUUCAACACACUCUGGUGCUAGCCAGAACUCUGGGCACUACGUGUCCUUGCAUGGCCAGGAACCAGCGUGACCCAGGCUCCUGUUUGCUUGAGUGA